Long non-coding RNA from Homo sapiens (human), 461 nucleotides. RefSeq lists it as uncharacterized. The record is from RefSeq and is a predicted model, not a curated record. The transcript has 2 exons. NCBI's taxonomy places the organism in Eukaryota, Metazoa, Chordata, Mammalia, Primates, Hominidae.
ACUGCAGGGGCGGGGCGGGGAGAGCCUGAGUUAGGAAGAGCGUCCUGGGCCGCACCAGCGCCACCUCGGGGCCUGCUCCAGUCUCCUCCCCGGGGUCCUCUGCGCCCUCCCGCCGAGACGCCCGCCCCAGCUCCCCGGUGCACAGCCCCGCCGCAGCCACGCGGCCGCACGGGCGAUUGAACGCGGCCCCGGACCCCACCCAUCGGCGAAGAUCUCCCGCGGCCAGGCACCCUGCGAGGCCAGGCGAGGAGGAGGAAAACCCCGGGAGGAGGAAAGGCAGGCAGAAAGCUGGAGCUCCAAGAGUCACGCAGGUACAAGGACAAAGAAUCGUCAAAUGAGAAUACCAAGAAGAGAUAGACAUCCAUGAUUUAUUGUUAGGAGGAAGAAGCAAGUUGCAGAACAUAUAAUACAGUAUGUUCAGGUUAAACAAGUGUGCAAAUUAAACCUUGUUCAACUUACAA